This 1505-nucleotide ribosomal RNA is filed under the name metagenome. RNAcentral's name for it is "bacterial LSU rRNA". It matches the Rfam family "Bacterial large subunit ribosomal RNA", at positions 1277 to 2910 of the family's 2925-position model. The record is from RNAcentral.
UUAGAUCAGAAGCGAGAAUGUUGAUAUGAGUAGCGACAAACAGGGUGAGAGACCCUGUCGCCGUAAGUCCAAGGGUUCCUGCUUAAAGUUAAUCUGAGCAGGGUAAGCCGGCCCCUAAGGCGAGGCCGAAAGGCGUAGUCGAUGGGAACCAGGUUAAUAUUCCUGGGCCAGGAGGAAGUGACGAAUCUCAAAGAUUGUCUGCCCUUAUCGGAUUGGGUGGGCCGUUCAGAGGUCCCUGGAAAUAGCCCUCCAUCAGACCGUACCCUAAACCGACACAGGUGGACUGGUAGAGUAUACCAAGGCGCUUGAGAGAACCACGUUAAAGGAACUCGGCAAAAUGCCUCCGUAAGUUCGCGAGAAGGAGGCCCCGUCUGUAGGCAACUAUAGGCGGGGGGCACAAACUAGGGGGUGGCGACUGUUUACUUAAAACACAGGGCUCUGCGAAGCCGUAAGGCGACGUAUAGGGUCUGACGCCUGCCCGGUGCUGGAAGGUUAAAAGGAGGGGUGCAAGCUCUGAAUUGAAGCCCCAGUAAACGGCGGCCGUAACAAUAACGGUCCUAAGGUAGCGAAAUUCCUUGUCGGGUAAGUUCCGACCUGCACGAAUGGCGUAACGAUCUCCCCGCUGUCUCUAACGUGGACUCAGCGAAAUUGAACUGUGUGUCAAGAUGCACACUACCCGCGGUUAGACGGAAAGACCCCAUGAACCUUUACUCCAGCUUUGCACCGGCAUCGGGAUUGCGAUGUGCAGGAUAGGUGGUAGCCUUUGAAGCGGGGACGCUAGUUCCCGUGGAGGCUCCCUUGAGAUACCACCCUUCGCACUCUUGAUGUCUAACCGCGGCCCGUUAUCCGGGUCCGGGACCCUGCAUGGUGGGGAGUUUGACUGGGGCGGUCGCCUCCCAAACAGUAACGGAGGCGCGCGAAGGUAGGCUCAGACCGGUCGGAAAUCGGUCGUUGAGUGCAAUGGCAGAAGCCUGCCUGACUGCAAGACUGACAAGUCGAGCAGAGACGAAAGUCGGUCAUAGUGAUCCGGUGGUCCCAAGUGGGAGGGCCAUCGCUCAACGGAUAAAAGGUACUCUGGGGAUAACAGGCUGAUGAUGCCCAAGAGUCCAUAUCGACGGCAUCGUUUGGCACCUCGAUGUCGGCUCAUUUCAUCCUGGGGCUGGAGCAGGUCCCAAGGGUAUGGCUGUUCGCCAUUUAAAGAGGUACGUGAGCUGGGUUUAGAACGUCGUGAGACAGUUCGGUCCCUAUCUGCCGUGGGUGUAGGAGACUUGAGAAGAGUUGCCCCUAGUACGAGAGGACCGGGGUGAACGAACCACUGGUGGACCAGUUAUCGUGCCAACGGUAGUGCUGGGUAGCUAUGUUCGGACAGGAUAACCGCUGAAGGCAUCUAAGCGGGAAGCCCCCUUCAAAACAAGGUCUCCCUUGAGGGCCGUGGAAGACCACCACGUCGAUAGGCCGGAGGUGUAAGUGCAGCAAUGCAUUCAGCUGACCGGUACUAAUUGCCC